AAGGGCAUCCAGUCAUAGAAACCAUACCAAGUCAGACUGGAAUCUCGUGCAGUCCCUCAGCUUACCAGCUCUGGUCAAACCGUCCAACCCAUGGCAGCAUGAAAACAGACAUUAAAAUGAUGGUGAUGAUUCCUUCCAUAUAUAAAGAAAAGAAAGAAUACAUGCACUAGAGCAAGUCAGGGACCUCCAUGGAUGUACACACCUGCUGUUAAUUAACAAAACGAAGAAAAAAAUGAAGAAAUAAACAAGCAGGUAUGGCAAAGUGUGAGUCAUGGCGAACAAUUUACAUCAAGACUUGACACCGAUGGAUUUCUUUUUUUUUGUGGGAUGUUUAAGAUGUGUAUAAACAAUAUGAUUGUAAUAUAGAAAUUUCCUGGUUUCAGAAUAUUUAAAUAUUUGCCUCUAUAAAAUGAGACAGCUUACAGAAUCCAAGUCAAGACACAUCUUCCAUUUCCAUUUCAUUAUACAGCUUGUAUGUAUAGUGAGAAAUUGAGUUUUAUAGGAAUUUGGCAUUGGUUCCAGUUUUGCGUGACCUUUAAACAGUUUCACUUUCCAUCCAAGCAAAUCUUCCUAUAAUUCUUCCCAUUCAUCUUGUCAAUUACAUAAAACAGUGGCACAUCACUUCCACUUUUUAAACUUUCGUUUUAUCCAGUAACAUUUCAUGGGUCAUUGGCUCGCAACUAAAC
Molecule: long non-coding RNA, 686 nt
Organism: Octopus bimaculoides (California two-spot octopus)
Lineage: Eukaryota; Metazoa; Mollusca; Cephalopoda; Octopoda; Octopodidae
Source: RefSeq, a predicted model, not a curated record